Molecule: ribosomal RNA, 287 nt
Filed under: uncultured microorganism
Description: partial 16S ribosomal RNA
Rfam family: Bacterial small subunit ribosomal RNA
Source: RNAcentral
GUGCCAGCAGCCGCGGUAAUACGAAGGGUGCAAGCGUUACUCGGAAUUACUGGGCGUAAAGCGUGCGUAGGUGGUCGUUUAAGUCUGUUGUGAAAGCCCUGGGCUCAACCUGGGAACUGCAGUGGAAACUGGACGACUAGAGUGUGGUAGAGGGUAGCGGAAUUCCUGGUGUAGCAGUGAAAUGCGUAGAGAUCAUCCAUCAGAGGAGGGCGAAGCAGCUACCUGGACCACACUGACACUGAGCACGAAGCGUGGGGAGCAAACAGGUUUAGAUACCCUGGUAUUCC